GGAGGGUGCGAGCGUUAAUCGGAAUAACUGGGCGUAAAGGGCACGCAGGCGGUGACUUAAGUGAGGUGUGAAAGCCCCGGGCUUAACCUGGGAAUUGCAUUUCAUACUGGGUCGCUAGAGUACUUUAGGGAGGGGUAGAGUUCCACGUGUAGCGGUGAAAUGCGUAGAGAUGUGGAGGAAUACCGAAGGCGAAGGCAGCCCCUUGGGAAUGUACUGACGCUCAUGUGCGAAAGCGUGGGGAGCAAACAGGAUUAGAUACCCUGGUAGUCCACGCUGUAAACGAUGUCGAUUUGGGGGUUGAACUUUGAGUUUGGCGCCCGUAGCUAACGUGAUAAAUCGACCGCCUGGGGAGUACGGCCGCAAGGUUA
This 368-nucleotide ribosomal RNA is filed under the name uncultured bacterium. RNAcentral describes it as "bacterial SSU rRNA". It matches the Rfam family "Bacterial small subunit ribosomal RNA", at positions 527 to 896 of the family's 1533-position model. The record is from RNAcentral.